CACAGUUUGGAAACCCCUUCACAGGCGAUCUAAACGACUAGGUUCGCUAGGUAGGUGCUGUAACGGAUUACUAGGGCUCCAAGGUUAUAACCGAGACGGUAGUUGUGGAACCA
Octopus sinensis (East Asian common octopus) is the source of this 113-nucleotide long non-coding RNA. RefSeq lists it as uncharacterized. The transcript has 3 exons. The record is from RefSeq and is a predicted model, not a curated record. Lineage: Eukaryota; Metazoa; Mollusca; Cephalopoda; Octopoda; Octopodidae.